Molecule: long non-coding RNA, 501 nt
Organism: Nerophis lumbriciformis (worm pipefish)
Lineage: Eukaryota; Metazoa; Chordata; Actinopteri; Syngnathiformes; Syngnathidae
Source: RefSeq, a predicted model, not a curated record
UAGUCAGGGCUCGAGGAUUCUGUGAGGAACUCGCACGGCUGCGGUAGUUGUGACCCCAAGAUGCGGGAAACGGGAGAACGAGGUGCAGGUGUCCUCAUUCGCUGCCGGGGACACUGCAAAGGCGCUAAGAGGGGAUGCACACAGGCCGAUGUGAUACACGUACUGUACGUACGGUAACACUUCUGACAUUAGAUAUGGAGUUUGCUUCCGGAUAACCAUCCAAGGGUCAGACAAUGAACACAACCUUUUUGUCCACUGAACUCACACGCCUGUGAGACCUGCCACACGUACAUGUGCCCUAGGAUAGGUUCCAGCUUACUUAUAAUUUUAAAGGAGAACUUCACUUUUUUUUCUUUUUUUUUUAAUCACUAUGAGAGACAAAAAGACAUACAGUAAAGGCUCAAAGUUUGGACACAUCUUCUCAUUCAAUGCGUUUUCUUUAUUUCCAUGAAUAUUUACAUUGUAGAUUGUCACUGAAGGCAUCAAAACUAUGACUGAACA